Small nuclear RNA from Mustela putorius furo (domestic ferret), 108 nucleotides. The record is from Ensembl. Lineage: Eukaryota; Metazoa; Chordata; Mammalia; Carnivora; Mustelidae.
GUGCUCGCUUCAGCAGCACAUAUACUAAAAUUGGAACGAUACACAGAAGAUUAGCAUGGCCCCUGCACAAGGAUGACACCUAAACCAGAUGCUGUCUCAAAAGUGUCU